UGAUAACAGUCCACAAUCUUGCCAUGGUU
Molecule: non-coding RNA, 29 nt
Filed under: Mus musculus (house mouse)
Lineage: Eukaryota; Metazoa; Chordata; Mammalia; Rodentia; Muridae
Source: RNAcentral